RNAcentral lists this ribosomal RNA (306 nucleotides) under Clostridium sp. enrichment culture clone CMUCB1. Its description in RNAcentral is "bacterial SSU rRNA". It matches the Rfam family "Bacterial small subunit ribosomal RNA", at positions 54 to 354 of the family's 1533-position model. Lineage: Bacteria; Bacillati; Bacillota; Clostridia; Eubacteriales; Clostridiaceae. The record is from RNAcentral.
AGUGCGGAUCUACCAUGCAGUCGAGCGAUCUCUUCGGAGAGAGCGGCGGACGGGUGAGUAACGCGUGGGUAACCUGCCCUGUACACACGGAUAACAUACCGAAAGGUAUACUAAUACGGGAUAACAUACGAAAGUCGCAUGGCUUUUGUAUCAAAGCUCCGGCGGUACAGGAUGGACCCGCGUCUGAUUAGCUAGUUGGUAAGGUAAUGGCUUACCAAGGCAACGAUCAGUAGCCGACCUGAGAGGGUGAUCGGCCACACUGGAACUGAAACACGGUCCAGACUCCUACGGGAGGCAGCAGAAACA